RNAcentral lists this ribosomal RNA (495 nucleotides) under uncultured bacterium. RNAcentral describes it as "partial 16S ribosomal RNA". It matches the Rfam family "Bacterial small subunit ribosomal RNA", at positions 28 to 523 of the family's 1533-position model. The record is from RNAcentral.
GAUGAACGCUGGCGGCAUGCUUUACACAUGCAAGUCGAACGGUAGAGGGGGCAACCCCUCGAGAGUGGCGAACGGGUGAGUAAUAUAUCGGAACGUGCCCAGUCGUGGGGGAUAACGUAGCGAAAGUUACGCUAAUACCGCAUACGAUCUAAGGAUGAAAGCGGGGGAUCGCAAGACCUCGCGCGAUUGGAGCGGCCGAUAUCAGAUUAGGUAGUUGGUGGGGUAAAGGCUCACCAAGCCAACGAUCUGUAGCUGUCUGAGAGGACGACCAGCCACACUGGAACUGAGGCACAGUCCAGACUCCUACGGGAGGCAGCAGUGGGGAAUUUUGGACAAUGGACGCAAGUCUGAUCCAGCCAUUCCGCGUGCAGGAUGAAGGCCCUCGGGUUGUAAACUGCUUUUGUACGGAACGAAAAGGUCUCUCUUAAUACGGGGGACUCAUGACGGUACCGUAAGAAUAAGCACCGGCUAACUACGUGCCAGCCGCCGCCGUAA